AGCAGCCGCGGUAAUUCCAGCUCCAAUAGCGUAUAUUAAAGUUGUUGCAGUUAAAAAGCUCGUAGUUGAAUUUCGGGAUUGACGUGAUGGUCGUGCCUUAAGGGGUAUGAACUGUCGCUGUUGAUUUCUCACCUUCUGGAGAAACUUGAUGUCCUUAAUUGGGUGUCUUGCGGAUCCAGGACCUUUACCUUGAAAAAAUUUAGAGUGUUUAAAGCAGGCAUUUUUGCUCGAAUACAUUAGCAUGGAAUAAUAGAAUAGGACGGCAUGGUUCUAUUUUGUUGGUUUCUAGGAUCACCGUAAUGAUUAAUAGGGAUAGUUGGGGGCAUUAGUAUUCAAUUGUCAGAGGUGAAAUUCUUGGAUUAUUGAAGACUAACUACUGCGAAAGCAUUUGCCAAGGAUGUUUUCAUUAAUCAAGAACGAAAGUUAGGGGAUCGAAGACGAUCAGAUACCGUCGUAGUCUUAACCAUAAACUAUGCCGACUAGGAAUCAGACGAUGUUAAUUUUUUCAAUGACUCGUUUG
This 520-nucleotide ribosomal RNA is filed under the name uncultured Entrophospora. Its description in RNAcentral is "SSU rRNA". It matches the Rfam family "Eukaryotic small subunit ribosomal RNA", at positions 569 to 1082 of the family's 1831-position model. Lineage: Eukaryota; Fungi; Glomeromycota; Glomeromycetes; Entrophosporales; Entrophosporaceae. The record is from RNAcentral.